RNAcentral lists this long non-coding RNA (584 nucleotides) under Bos indicus x Bos taurus (hybrid cattle). Its description in RNAcentral is "lncRNA (ENSBIXG00005005471.1)". Lineage: Eukaryota; Metazoa; Chordata; Mammalia; Artiodactyla; Bovidae. The record is from RNAcentral.
UACAUGUUGCAGAGCAACUACGCCUGUGCUCUAGAGCCUGGCAGCCACAAGUCCUGAGCCCACAAGCCAUGACUACUGAAGCCUGAGAGCCCUAGAGCCCGGGUUUCACAUCAAGAGAAGCCACUGCAGUGAGAAGCCUGUGCACCGCAACUGGAGAGUAGCCCCUGCUUGCUGCAACUAGAGAAAGCCCGUGGAGCAAUGAAGACAUAAAUAAAUAAAACCUUGUCCCAAAGAAGGAGAAGUCCAACCUUGGCCUCAGAAGGCAUCUCAGUGGGCUUCAAAGACUUCCCAACUGUCAUCCUUGCUGUAGGAUGCCAAAGAAGCCACCUCCAGCCAGACAGCCUCAUUUCAGCAGGAAAGGUCUCCAACUUUAAGUACUCACAGAUGGCUACUCUAUGGGACAACACGAUCCUAGAACAGUGGUUCUCAGCUCAGGCUGCACAUUUGAAUCCGCUAGAUGUUUGAAAAAGUCUUGAAGAUCUGAUCUCAAGCAAUUUAAAUCCUGGCAUGAGAGGUAAGAGCUCCCGAGCUGAUGGUAACCUGUAGCCAAGAUUGGGGGCUGCUGCUCAGAAAUGGGAGGGACU